GUAAAAGCUAGUUAUUUCUUUGAAUUGUGGUGGAGUUUUGGUUCAGUAGUCUGGGCGUGGCGCAGCCAGAGCAGCUCUGCGCUCCAAGGUCCUGUGGUGGUGAGCGUCUCGCCUCACCAGAGGUGGACUGGCGAUGGAUGCCAAGAUGCCAGCUUUCAAACACCAGGUCCCAGAAUCAAUGUGUCUCCGGAAUGGCACGACAGAAAGUCCGACCCGCCUACGAGCUGCUGUCUGCUUCGUGCGGUCUGGCCGCACAGACGUACUCGGUGCAUGCCCGGAAAGGAGAAAGAGACAGCCUUCCUCUUCACCAUUGACAGCGGCAUGGACGUCCUCAACAGCGGCCAUCCGAGGGACGCCAAAACACUGCGGAGAGACUGCUCCAGCACUCCCGGGCAGGAGGACGCCCUCUCUAAGCUGGUGGAAGAGGUGGAGGGACUGCGCUUCGGCUCAGCUGGUCACCUCCUCCCGUUCCAGAAGGGUCUGGUAGUGACAGUGAAGGCGGUGCGGGGUCUGCUCGCUGACGUGCAGCAGCGUUUUGGCCCGGACUGCUAACUGCUACUCCGCCACGUCACCCAGAACCGGCUUUAGGGCUCGUUCAGCCACAUCCGCGGCUCUGGCGGCGGAAGCCCCAACCACACGACGACAGAGGUGAAGGGGCGCCUCCGCCUGUUCACUCUGAUCCAGCUUGCGCGUCACGGGCCCACGGCGUGCAGAUUAAGAGUCGCUCACCCGCGGCGCUCCCGGUACCAGCGGCGGAGGCGGAGGCGGGGGCAGAGCCGGGGGCAGAGCCGGAGGCAGACGAGGACCAAGCCGACCAGGCGCAGAUGGUGUGCUGGAGGCGGUAUGCCCUGAGCCGCCCCAAGAAGUUCCUGAGGGGACGGAGAGCCUGGAGCCCGUUCCUGACGAGCCAGCCCCGGACGCAGAGGAGGAGGCGGAGCAGGAGAGGGCGCAGCUACUGCGGGAGGCCGAGACAGUGCAUAUACCGCCUGCGCCCUCAGCGGCGUUGGACGCUGAGAUUGGUGUGCCGGCCACCGAAGGUGCAAUGGCGCAUCUGGCCGGCUACAUCGCCAGAAAAUGCGGCCCCAGCUUCGGCGCGCUGGCGAUGGCAUCUGAGGACGCGCCAGUUCAGACGCUCUGGACUCGACUGCGCAGCGCGGCCGGCGGACUCACGAUCCCCUCCCAGCCCUGCUUAGACCUGUUUAAUCAGCUCGAGGCGGAGUUCAUAUAUGUUUCACGUGUUCGCUGAAGUGUCUUGAAAAUGCCGGCGACAGCGGCGGGGCGCAUCUGAUCGGCACAAUGUUACAGAUCAGGAUCCGUCCUGUCUGGAGGUAGUCGGACCGGUGUUUGUCUAGCCAGAUGUACUCCAUCGUAUCACUGAUGUUCAUCUGUAAGGCUGUGUUCUUGCCUAAUGCUGCUUCCACCCAUUCAGUCAGUUUUGAAUUGUAAUAGAGGAAGCCAGACGUCAUAGAUGUCUUCGUUUAAGGGAUUGUUUUCGCAUGUCAUGCAUCGGAAAUACAAUCAAAAUAGAAUUAAUUGAUGAUCAGCUAUGCAACCGCAAAUCAGCAGCAUCGAAUCUAUGUACAGUAUUUUUAUGCACUUCUACAACCGAAGUGAUCCGACGAAACACCAGCGACCAUCAGCCAAAAUAUAACUUAUAUGCCCUGGAA
Molecule: unclassified non-coding RNA, 1667 nt
Filed under: Amphibalanus amphitrite
Lineage: Eukaryota; Metazoa; Arthropoda; Thecostraca; Balanomorpha; Balanidae
Description: uncharacterized LOC122366245, transcript variant X1
Source: RNAcentral